CUUAACAGUUUGCUUUACUUGAGAUCCAUGGUUUUUCAGAAGAAAAUGCAGAGGAAAAGGAACUUAGGGACCUGGGUCACUUCAGAGGGUCACAGAUCAGUUGAGGCCUGGGGAGAGUAGGGGGUACCAAGCAGUAAAAAUAUUUUGUACUGCUGGAUGUGAAAGAGAAGACAAGAAAGGAAACUGGAAAUAGACCCAAGUCAAACUUAUCUUACCCCAGUAUUUUACAUGGCGAUGGAUGUCUUGUGGAGGAGUCAGAAAGUCGGGCCUGGACACUAUUGCCCGCCAUACAGGGGAAAGCUUCAAGGCUCUAAAAUUGUGUUCCUUUCUUGUCAUACCUACUUUCCUCCCUUCCCACCACGUGUUUUUUUCAUCUUGAGUUAGUAAUUACUUUUUACAUUGAAAUUUUAUGACAGCUGACCAUGGUUUUCAUUCUGAAGGCUCCCAUGAGUACAUGUUAAAUAAAUUUACAUACCUUUUCUCCUGUUAAUAUGCCUUUAGUGAGUUAUUUUUCAGUAAACUUCAGCAGGAUAAAAACACCAUAACAGAGCAAUGCUGUGGUCCCCAGCCUAGCUGCUCCAGGGUCUAGUUGGUUCCUAAAGAAACUGAUUUUAAGUUUUUCUUUGAUAUAUACUUUAAGGCAAUAAUUAGGAGCUCUCUGGGGUUGAAUUUUCUCGUGUUUUAAACCCAAUAGAAACACAGACUGACCUGUAGCAUUUGUGAAUAUGCUAGUAUAAUUAAUUCCCCAAAUCGAGUCUCUGCCUUUCUCCAGGAGUCCUGUGAGGUUUACAGAUUAAUUCAGUUGCAGACUUAGGAUCCUUACUGUGAUCCUCUUCAGGGAAAUAAAAAAGGCAGGAGCCUUUUGGCUUAGACUGCCAGAGUAAGAACAAUAGGCCUUAACGAAGUUCUUUUUCUUUGCCCCCUUUUUGAAUGAUGACUUUUUACUUCAAUGCAGGAAGGUUUCAUGAAGGAUAAGGAAAAAGAUCCCCUGUUCUGUUUGUGUACAAGAUGUCUGUGGGUUCCCAGCAAUUUCAAUUUCAGUGACUCACUGAUAUUCCCUGCAUUACAAUACCUACAUCUACCAGACCCAAACAGAGAACUCCUUAUGCUGGUUUAUGGUUUUCAUACUUGUAAAUGUAUUAAUUGUUUUUCAUUCAUGAGCAUCUCUAGCUAGAAACAAAUGUUUCACAUAGACUUUGAAGAAGUUAAACAUUAAAUUUAAAUGCUCUAACACUAACUGACCAAAAUCAGUAAUAGACUUAAUUUUAGACUAUUUCAUUCCUGGACAGUCUUCUAAACAUAGUUAUUUUGUUCCCCAAUGUUUUUUGGUUCGUAAGCAACUACAUUUUAUUUUCUUAUUUACAACUACAUUUGCAAAUGCUAAAAUUUAUGGUCAGAAAAUGAGUGUCUGAUUCUUUUCAACUUGACAUAAAUCAUUUGUAGAUAUUCAAUAGAAAGCAUUCACAUAAAAAAUAAAAUCUCUAUUGUUUUUCUUUUUACUUGUAUGACUUAAACCGUGAAGUGGCUAAACUGGAAUUUCAUAAGUCUAACUUAAGCCUCUUAUGUUUGGUACAACUUUCAAAUUUUUGUUGAUUAAACUGAAGGGGGGAAAAGGAAGAUACUGAUUUUAGAAACUAGCAAUGUGCCACAUGGGAAAAGACGUUCAGUUGCCAACAGGACAAAGGCCCAGCCGCCUUCCAGCAUGAGCUCCCCACCCUCCUCUACAGAGCCUCUGGGAUGUGCCUAUCUGCCCCACUCCCUUUCCCCAAGACACAUUCUGCCUUUCCCCCCUGCAUGCUUUUGCUUCUUUCAAAGAACAGAAACAUAAUAUUUUGCCAAGACUUUGCGUGCACCUUAUCUAUAUGAGUUACAUUGUAAAUAGCAUUCUAUUCAACUUUCAAACCAUCCCCAUGAGGUAGAAAUCUCUAUUUUACAAAUUAAAAAAAAAAAAAAACAGGCACAGAAAGAUUUGUCUACUUGCCCAAAGUCACAGAGCAAAUAAGUGACAGAAUAACUUUUUUAAAGCAAUAAAGCAUUGUCAUUUUUGUAUAUAUACUAUAUGGUAAGAGUGCGAAGAGGGUGGUCCAUUCUACCUGGUGGGAAAGAAAGGGAGAGAGGUGUCAGUAAAGCCUUCAUGAAAAAGGUAAUAGGAGUUGAGCCCUGUAAGAUGAGGAGGAACCCAGUUUUCUGAUUCUAAAGCCAAAGUUGUUUGUACUACUCACUUUCCUCAUCUCUUCAUUCUCUUGGCCUAUACAAAUUCUACCUGUACUUCAGCACCAAGCUCAGAUUCCACUUCCUUCAUGAAAACUUGCUGACCACCUCUGUCCUUUGAACUUCCAGAGCAAUUAUUUAUUAGGCAAUUUAAUUGAUGAAUAAUGUCACUUUGUGAGAUCCCUUUAUCAAUGAAACAUGUUAUAAAU
This 2420-nucleotide long non-coding RNA is filed under the name Homo sapiens (human). RNAcentral's name for it is "HSALNT0347611". The record is from RNAcentral. Lineage: Eukaryota; Metazoa; Chordata; Mammalia; Primates; Hominidae.